UACGUAGGGUGCAAGCGUUAAUCGGAAUUACUGGGCGUAAAGGGUGCGUAGGCGGUUUGUUAAGUCUGUCGUGAAAUCCCCGGGCUCAACCUGGGAAUGGCGAUGGAUACUGGCAAGCUAGAGUGUGUCAGAGGAUGGUGGAAUUUCCGGUGUAGCAGUGAAAUGCGUAGAGAUCGGGAGGAACACCAGUUGCGAAGGCGGCUCUCUGGACCAGCACUGACACUGAGGCACGAAAGCGUGGGGAGCAAACAGG
This 253-nucleotide ribosomal RNA is filed under the name uncultured bacterium. RNAcentral describes it as "partial 16S ribosomal RNA". It matches the Rfam family "Bacterial small subunit ribosomal RNA", at positions 524 to 776 of the family's 1533-position model. The record is from RNAcentral.